UUCGAGCGUCAUUACAACCCUCAAGCCUGGCUUGGUAUUGGGCUCCGCUGCUUAUCCAGCGGGCCUUAAAAUCAGUGGCGGUGCGUCGUGGCCCUGAGCGUAGUAAAUAUCCUCGCUAUAGGGACUCGAAGGUUGCUGGCCAUCAAUCACUACUUUCUAAGUUUGACCUCGGAUCAGGUAGGGAUACCCGCUGAACUUAA
Molecule: unclassified non-coding RNA, 200 nt
Filed under: soil metagenome
Description: partial contains internal transcribed spacer 2 and large subunit ribosomal RNA
Source: RNAcentral